GACGAACGCUGGCGGCGUGCUUAACACAUGCAAGUGGAGCGACGAACCAGGCUUCGGCCUGGGGCAGAGCCGCGAACGGGUGAGUAACACGUGGGUAACCUGCCCUGAUGAUCGGGACAACCCGGGGAAACCCGGGCUAAUACCGAAUGUGCCCGCGAGCCGCAAGGCUUGCGAGGAAAGGAAGCUUCGGCCUCCGCAUCGGGAUGGGCCCGCGGCCCAUUAGCUUGUUGGUGGGGUAACGGCCUACCAAGGCAGCAAUGGGUAGCUGGUCUGAGAGGACGAUCAGCCACACUGGCACUGCGACACGGGCCAGACUCCUACGGGAGGCAGCAGUGAGGAAUAUUGCGCAAUAGGCGAAAGCCUGACGCAGCGACGCCGCGUGGGGGAUGAAGGUCUUCGGAUUGUAAACCCCUUUCGGGAGGGAAGACGGCCUUAGACAACUAUGGCGGACGGUACCUCCAGAAGCAGCCACGGCUAACUUCGUGCCAGCCGCCGCGGUAAC
Molecule: ribosomal RNA, 502 nt
Filed under: uncultured bacterium
Lineage: Bacteria
Description: bacterial SSU rRNA
Rfam family: Bacterial small subunit ribosomal RNA
Source: RNAcentral